AGUUUGCAAUUUUCAGUCAUUUUAGAUUACAAACGGGAAAUUGAUACCUAAACACCCAAUUUGCAUGGGUAUCAAUUUCCCAUUUGUAAUCUAAAAUGACUGAAAAUUGCAA
Non-coding RNA from Paramuricea clavata, 112 nucleotides. The record is from the annotation of a GenBank genome assembly. Lineage: Eukaryota; Metazoa; Cnidaria; Anthozoa; Malacalcyonacea; Plexauridae.